Molecule: ribosomal RNA, 484 nt
Filed under: uncultured bacterium
Lineage: Bacteria
Description: partial 16S ribosomal RNA
Rfam family: Bacterial small subunit ribosomal RNA
Source: RNAcentral
AUUGAACGCUGGCGGCAUGCUUUACACAUGCAAGUCGAACGGCAGCGCGGGCUUCGGCCUGGCGGCGAGUGGCGAACGGGUGAGUAAUGCAUCGGAACGUGCCCAGUAGUGGGGGAUAGCCCGGCGAAAGCCGGAUUAAUACCGCAUACGACCUGAGGGUGAAAGCGGGGGACCGAAAGGCCUCGCGCUAUUGGAACGGCCGAUGUCGGAUUGGCUAGUUGGUGGGGUAAAGGCUUACCAAGGCGACGAUCCGUAGCUGGUCUGAGAGGACGACCAGCCACACUGGGACUGAGACACGGCCCAGACUCCUACGGGAGGCAGCAGUGGGGAAUUUUGGACAAUGGGGGCAACCCUGAUCCAGCCAUGCCGCGGGCGGGAAGAAGGCCUUCGGGUUGUAAACCGCUUUUGUUCGGGAAGAAAUCCUCUGGGCUAAUACCCCGGGGGGAUGACGGUACCGGAAGAAUAAGCACCGGCUAACUACGUG